ACGGGAGGCAGCAGUGGGGAAUAUUGCACAAUGGGGGAAACCCUGAUGCAGCGAUGCCGCGUGAAGGAAGAAGUUCUUCGGAAUGUAAACUUCUAUCAGCAAGGAAGAAAACGGACAGUACUUGACUAAGAAGCCCCGGCUAACUACGUGCCAGCAGCCGCGGUAAUACGUAGGGAGCAAGCAUUAUCCGGAAUUACUGGGUGUAAAGGGAGUGUAGGCGGGACUGUAAGUCAGAUGUGAAAUAUGCCGGCUCAACUGGCAGACUGCAUUUGAAACUGCGGUUCUUGAGUGAAGUAGAGGUAAGCGGAACUCCUAGUGUAGCGGUGAAAUGCGUAGAUAUUAGGAGGAACAUCAGUGGCGAAGGCGGCUUACUGGGCUUUAACUGACGCUGAGGCUCGAAAGCGUGGGGAGCAAACAGGAUUAGAUACCCUGGUA
This 435-nucleotide ribosomal RNA is filed under the name uncultured Ruminococcus sp. Its description in RNAcentral is "partial 16S ribosomal RNA". It matches the Rfam family "Bacterial small subunit ribosomal RNA", at positions 341 to 792 of the family's 1533-position model. Lineage: Bacteria; Bacillati; Bacillota; Clostridia; Eubacteriales; Oscillospiraceae. The record is from RNAcentral.